GUGGGGAAUCUUAGACAAUGGGGGAAACCCUGAUCUAGCCAUGCCGCGUGAGCGAUGAAGGCCUUAGGGUUGUAAAGCUCUUUCAGCUGGGAAGAUAAUGACGGUACCAGCAGAAGAAGCCCCGGCUAACUCCGUGCCAGCAGCCGCGGUAAUACGGAGGGGGCUAGCGUUGUUCGGAAUUACUGGGCGUAAAGCGCGCGUAGGCGGACCAGAAAGUUGGAGGUGAAAUCCCAGGACUCAACCUAGGAACUGCCUUCAAAACUCCUGGUCUGGAGUUCGAGAGAGGUGAGUGGAAUUCCGAGUGUAGAGGUGAAAUUCGUAGAUAUUCGGAGGAACACCAGUGGCGAAGGCGGCUCACUGGCUCGAUACUGACGCUGAGGUGCGAAAGCGUGGGGAGCAAACAGGAUUAGAAACCCUUGUAGUCC
Molecule: ribosomal RNA, 425 nt
Filed under: uncultured bacterium
Lineage: Bacteria
Description: partial 16S ribosomal RNA
Rfam family: Bacterial small subunit ribosomal RNA
Source: RNAcentral